GUGGAUCUAACUUGGGGAUGAUGGGGGCUUUGAAAUUCUUGAACAUAGAGACAGAAAUUUGUGGUUGCUUUACUAGAGAGAGGAAGAGAUAGAUACAGAGAUAUAUCUCGCGACUUGAGCGCCAUAGUGACCGCCUUUCGAGCGCCGAUAGUGAUGGUGGUGGUUGUGAUGGUGUGUGUGGCGAGAAUGUGUAGUGUUUGUGACCAAGUAUUGUGGUGGAAUUGGAUCUAGAUUGGAUGUGGUGUCACGGCGGUGUGGUGCUAGCGUUGAUUGGGUGGUGGUGAUUUGUGGUCAAGAUUGGUGCUGGAUUGAGACCGGUAUAGUGGAAUGUUUGGAAUCUGUGACCAACUAUUGUAACCAACUAUUUCGCUGAUUUGUAACCAAAAAUUAGGUGUUUGUGACUAAAAAAUAAAUUGUGACCUAUAGAUAAAAUAUGAUC
This 439-nucleotide long non-coding RNA is filed under the name Olea europaea (common olive). RNAcentral describes it as "long non-coding RNA (OEUR_LNC012400)". Lineage: Eukaryota; Viridiplantae; Streptophyta; Magnoliopsida; Lamiales; Oleaceae. The record is from RNAcentral.